AUCCAGCUGACGAGUCCAAAUACGACGAAAAGCACGUCCUGGAU
Non-coding RNA from Schistosoma curassoni, 44 nucleotides. The record is from Rfam. NCBI's taxonomy places the organism in Eukaryota, Metazoa, Platyhelminthes, Trematoda, Strigeidida, Schistosomatidae.